GCUGUGCCUCGGCCCUGCGCUCCCCGCCCGCGGAGCCGCUCCAGCUUUUGUCUCCGUACGCUGCCUUCUUCCUUUCUCUCUUUCCAAACUUUUGAGCGCUCACUCUGAGCUGUAUUUAUAGAGCUGGAGCCCACGGCUGUAUUUUUCCUUGUGCCUCCUUUGGCUUGGGCUGAAGUCACUGGCAGGGAAAAUAAGAAGGAGGCAGGCGGGCGGGCAGACGAGCGAGAGGACAGAAGGGAAAAAGAGCCUGAGUCCCGCAGACGGGACCUGGAGGGAGUCCGGGGUAGGCGGCGGAACGUGCGGGACCCUUUUCCCGCUGACGAGCGAGAGCAUCCAGACGGACCGGUUUAUUUAAAACAAGUGAACUCCUUGGUAACGCACGAGCAGAUGAUGCCCCGCGCACGUACGGAGCCUCCGCGUACCCCGUGUAUGUGCGGACCCGCGGCUGUCCCGCGACUCUGCGCCUCGAAGUGCCGGCACCGAGCGGGGCUGCAAAAUACAACCAGCGCUACUGAAAGAACGGCGAGAAAGCAGGGGGCGAGCAGUGGGGCAUUCCUCGCAAAAGCGUCCCCAGCCUCGCUCAACAAACAACUCCUCCGCCAAAACACUAAAUAUGAAGUAGGAAACCCGCAAACAAAACGAGAGGGAUACUGCGGG
Molecule: long non-coding RNA, 657 nt
Organism: Gallus gallus (chicken)
Lineage: Eukaryota; Metazoa; Chordata; Aves; Galliformes; Phasianidae
Source: Ensembl